UACGUAGGGGGCAAGCGUUGUCCGGAUUUAUUGGGCGUAAAGAGCGUGUAGGCGGCCAGACAAGUCUGCUGUGAAAACUCGAGGCUCAACCUCGAGCUGUCGGUGGAAACUGUCUGACUAGAGUCCGGAAGAGGAGAGUGGAAUUCCUGGUGUAGCGGUGAAAUGCGCAGAUAUCAGGAAGAACACCUAUGGCGAAGGCAGCUCUCUGGGACGGUACUGACGCUGAGACGCGAAAGCGUGGGGAGCGAACAGG
This 253-nucleotide ribosomal RNA is filed under the name uncultured bacterium. RNAcentral describes it as "partial 16S ribosomal RNA". It matches the Rfam family "Bacterial small subunit ribosomal RNA", at positions 524 to 776 of the family's 1533-position model. The record is from RNAcentral.